AGUCGCCGCGGGAAUACGAAGGGGGCUAGCGUUGUUCGGAAUUACUGGGCGUAAAGCGCACGUAGGCGGAUAUUUAAGUCAGGGGUGAAAUCCCAGAGCUCAACUCUGGAACUGCCUUUGAUACUGGGUAUCUUGAGUAUGGAAGAGGUGAGUGGAAUUCCGAGUGUAGAGGUGAAAUUCGUAGAUAUUCGGAGGAACACCAGUGGCGAAGGCGGCUCACUGGUCCAUUACUGACGCCGAGGUGCGAAAGCGUGGGGAGCAAACAGGAUUAGAGACCCCUGUAGUCCCUGUCUCUUAUACA
This 301-nucleotide ribosomal RNA is filed under the name uncultured bacterium. RNAcentral describes it as "partial 16S ribosomal RNA". It matches the Rfam family "Bacterial small subunit ribosomal RNA", at positions 510 to 808 of the family's 1533-position model. The record is from RNAcentral.